RNAcentral lists this ribosomal RNA (465 nucleotides) under uncultured bacterium. RNAcentral describes it as "bacterial SSU rRNA". It matches the Rfam family "Bacterial small subunit ribosomal RNA", at positions 29 to 506 of the family's 1533-position model. The record is from RNAcentral.
GUGAACGCUGGCGGCGUGCUUAACACAUGCAAGUCGAACGGUAACAGAAACUAGCUUGCUAGUUUGCUGACGAGUGGCGCACGGGUGAGUAAUAUAUAGUUAAUGUGCCUCGAAGACUGGGAUAGCCACUGGAAACGGUGAUUAAUACUAGAUACACCUUUUUAACAUAAGUUAAAUCGGGAAAUGUUUUUUCGCUUCGAGAUCAGACUAUAUCCUAUCAGUUAGUUGGUGAGGUAAUGGCUCACCAAGGCAAUGACGGGUAGCGGUUCUGAGAGGAUGAUCCGCCACACUGGUACUGAGACACGGACCAGACUCCUACGGGAGGCAGCAGUGAGGAAUAUUGCACAAUGGGGGGAACCCUGAUGCAGCAACGCCGCGUGGAGGAUGACGCAUUUCGGUGUGUAAACUCCUUUUAUAUGUCAAGAAAAUGACGGUAGCAUAUGAAUAAGCACCGGCUAACUCCGU